GGGAAUGUGGCUUAGUGGUAGAGUGCUUGUCUAGCAUUCAUGAAUCCCUGGGUUCAAGUCCUCAGUACCA
Non-coding RNA from Dipodomys ordii (Ord's kangaroo rat), 70 nucleotides. Lineage: Eukaryota; Metazoa; Chordata; Mammalia; Rodentia; Heteromyidae. The record is from Rfam.